UACGUAGGGGGCAAGCGUUGUCCGGAAUCAUUGGGCGUAAAGCGCGUGUAGGCGGCCAGGUAGGUCGGUUGUGAAAAUUGGAGGCUCAACCUCCAGACGUCGAUCGAAACCAUCUGGCUAGAGUCCGGAAGAGGAGAGUGGAAUUCCGUGGUGUAGCGGUGAAAUGCGUAGAUAUCUGGAGGAACACCGGUGGCGAAGGCGGCAUCCUGGACCAACACUGACGCUGAUGAGCGAAAGCCAGGGGAGCAAACGGG
This 254-nucleotide ribosomal RNA is filed under the name uncultured bacterium. RNAcentral's name for it is "partial 16S ribosomal RNA". It matches the Rfam family "Bacterial small subunit ribosomal RNA", at positions 524 to 776 of the family's 1533-position model. The record is from RNAcentral.